AGUGAACGCUGGCGGUAGGCCUAACACAUGCAAGUCGAACGGCAGCACAGUAAGAGCUUGCUCUUACGGGUGGCGAGUGGCGGACGGGUGAGGAAUACAUCGGAAUCUACUUUUUCGUGGGUGAUAACGUAGGGAAACUUACGCUAAUACCGCAUACGACCUACGGGUGAAAGCAGGGGAUCUUCGGACCUUGCGCGAUUGAAUGAGCCGAUGUCGGAUUAGCUAGUUGGCGGGGUAAAGGCCCACCAAGGCGACGAUCCGUAGCUGGUCUGAGAGGAUGAUCAGCCACACUGGAACUGAGACACGGUCCAGACUCCUACGGGAGGCAGCAGUGGGGAAUAUUGGACAAUGGGCGCAAGCCUGAUCCAGCCAUACCGCGUGGGUGAAGAAGGCCUUCGGGUUGUAAAGCCCUUUUGUUGGGAAAGAAAAGCAGCAGGUUAAUACCCCGCUGUUCUGACGGUACUCAAAGAAUAAGCACCGGCUAACUUCGUG
Molecule: ribosomal RNA, 492 nt
Filed under: uncultured bacterium
Lineage: Bacteria
Description: partial 16S ribosomal RNA
Rfam family: Bacterial small subunit ribosomal RNA
Source: RNAcentral